RNAcentral lists this ribosomal RNA (253 nucleotides) under uncultured bacterium. RNAcentral's name for it is "partial 16S ribosomal RNA". It matches the Rfam family "Bacterial small subunit ribosomal RNA", at positions 524 to 776 of the family's 1533-position model. The record is from RNAcentral.
UACGAAGGGGGCUAGCGUUGUUCGGAAUUACUGGGCGUAAAGCGCACGUAGGCGGGUCGUUAAGUCAGGGGUGAAAUCCCGGAGCUCAACUCCGGAACUGCCUUUGAUACUGGCGAUCUUGAGAUCGGAAGAGGUGAGUGGAAUUCCCAGUGUAGAGGUGAAAUUCGUAGAUAUUGGGAAGAACACCAGUGGCGAAGGCGGCUCACUGGUCCGAUACUGACGCUGAGGUGCGAAAGCCAGGGGAGCAAACGGG